Molecule: transfer RNA, 71 nt
Filed under: Rhodinocichla rosea
Lineage: Eukaryota; Metazoa; Chordata; Aves; Passeriformes; Thraupidae
Description: tRNA-Glu
Rfam family: tRNA
About the family: Transfer RNA (tRNA) molecules are approximately 80 nucleotides in length. Their secondary structure includes four short double-helical elements and three loops (D, anti-codon, and T loops).
Source: RNAcentral
GUUCCUGUAGUUAAAUUUCAUAACAGCGGCUUUUCAGGCCGUAGGUCUUGGAGAAAAGCCGAGUAGGAAUU